Molecule: non-coding RNA, 9330 nt
Organism: Rhopilema esculentum
Lineage: Eukaryota; Metazoa; Cnidaria; Scyphozoa; Rhizostomeae; Rhizostomatidae
Source: RefSeq, a predicted model, not a curated record
CGUUCCUAUGAGAUUCGAGAGUAUGACCAUCCGUUGACAAACAGCAGUAGAAGAUAUGUUGUUGGAGAUAGGUUUCACUCCACUGUCCAUCCACAUAAAUCUCAUCUAUGCUUGUAUCACAAUAUUGACAACAGUGAACAAGCAUUUUCCCUAGCAACUAGCUACCAAGAAUCGGCGAAUAAUACGAAAAACAGAAAACGUUUAAGAUCGGCUUGCAUGCAGAGCUUCCAUAUGCAUUAUUUCUACAAUGUCCUCAUGGAAUUCUAUCAAAAUGAGAAAGUUGUGGAAAAGCAAAAGGAAGACCUGGAACGAAGUGGAAAAACUGUUAUCUUACAGUGGCUUAACUGGCAAACAACGGUUAAGUCCCAUGAUAAAGGACGAUUUGUUCCUUGCCUUGCCAUUCGCUGCACCGUCUUUGGAGAAGAGUUCUUAGAUGUGCGGAAGGAGGAACUACAACAAGAAAUUUCAAGGCAGGUUGAGAAAGGCAUCGGGAGACCAGUUUACUUUGCCAAAAACAAUGCCAAAAUAACAAAAUCUCAACAAAGAGCAAGAGAUCCAGAGCUAACGACCUGCUUAAAAGCACACAAAAUCCCUAUAUCUUCCUUUUCAAGCUGCAUGGGUUGGAAUACGGGAUCACAGGUGGAGAAGAGCCUUUGUGUGAGGAAAAUGAAACCUUUUUGGAACCAAGGGAUGAUCACCAAUCGACAUGCAAAGACAUUGAAAAUUGUAUAAAAAAAAGGCUUAUUGGUAAGUAUGUAAUACAUUUCUUCAAACAAAUAACCAGUACGGCUAUAUAUUUUUAUAUGAUUAUACAAUACCUUAUUUCUCGGCAUACAAGACGAGUUUCUAGGUCUGUACAAUACGAAAAGCCUUGAGAAAGCUUGCUUUGAAUUUGUAAUGGUAGUUUACAAGAAAUUUUAGCAUAAACAAUUUUGCGUUUGGACAACUUUUGAUAGGAGAGUGUGAACUGCGGUUCUUGGAACAGAAAUUCUUUCUUUCGCGAUUAUCGUGAUUUUUGUCAGCUAAAACGCAAUAGUAUAUAUGUUCUUAAUGAAAUAUUGAAAGUUCGCAAUGAAAGAGACCAGUUCUUUGCACUUUUAGUAAAAAAUUCAAGGGUCGACUUAUAGAUUGGGAAAAACGGUACUGAAUUGAAUCUUGCUAAAGUCUUAACCGAAAUGUCUUCAUGUUACUGAUUUUUUCAUACGAAUUGCUAUACCUGGAAUUUCUAAACCUUGAUAAGUCAUCAGUUUGAAAUCGCUAACAAGAAUUAUUUUCUUGCCCUAGAGUCUUUGCAGUAUGAAAGCCUUAGAAAAGAAAACGCGGAUGUGAACUUUGUGGUAAGCAAUCAGAUGAUUCAUCAAAUACACUCACUUUUUAUAAGAACCACUAAAUUUGAGUUCAGGCUGACAGUUCUUAAUUUUUUCGAAAAUCUGAAGCUGAGGGUGUAAGCAGUGCAAUUGCUAGCUUUUUCGCUCUAGGGAAGUGUUCAGGCCUCAUUUGUCAACAAAGUGGGUGAGGCAACCUUCAUUUGCUGCCAAGUUUGAAUAUUCACUACCGAAAAAGCACCCAAACAUGGCUAAAAAUCCUCGUUUCUGAGAUAAAACUUUGUUAAAAAUUGCAUUUUACAGUAGCUCAGCCUUAGCUUGUACAUGAUUUGUUCUUAACUCUUGACCAAUUUUGAGGCUCGUGUUCUUAAAAAAUUGAGCGUAAUAGAUGAAAUGCACAAUUAGCUCACAAUUGUUAUUGCUUUAUUGAUCUAUUUAUGACACUUGUAAUUGCAAUUUGGUAUUCAACCGAGCUUUUUAAGUAUAUUACCUUUGUAGAAAUUGUUUCGUUUGCAGGAAAACCUGUCUCCAGAGACCAAGCAGAAAUACCUGCUCUUCACUCCAAAAAGAAGGGCUGCAUUUCAGUUGGUAUGAAUUAUGACACUUUUAAUAUUUGUUAUUGAAUCAAAUAUGACAAUCAUCUUUCAAGAAAAGAAUUCAUCAAUUGAUGUUUUUCGACAGAGUGGACUUUUUUAAAGAUAUUUCCUAAUCUCACAAACAAAAUUUAUUUUGAAGGGAAUUGAUUAUCAGAGUAGGAGAGAGGAGCAGCGCCAAGAAAAGAGAAGACUCUUUGCAGAAGGGACGGUUGGUGUUCUCAAACUUGUCUUAGCAGUCUAGAAUUAAAAAAAAAUAAUACAAAUGUUACAAUUUCCCCAUUCAUCACUCGACUCACCAUGUAUAUUUUAUGGUGCUCCUAUUUUAGGUAUGCAAAAUGAGGACGAGCAUCCACAUCUAGAGCCAGAAGAGCCUAUUACUUCUACGCCAAUUCCUGAUGCAAGUUCACAUGAAACAGGGAAGCCAAAGGAAACAAAACCAUCAAAAUAUUGCGUCUGUAAAGUUGUGAAAAGAGGCAGAAUGAUUCAAUGCUCAGGGCCAAAGUCAGAGUGUGUCGGAAAUAACUGGUAUCACCUCUCAUGCCUCAAGAUGAAACAUAUCCCUAAAGGCGACUGGCUCUGUAUUGAUUGUAUGCAAGACAAACAACAAAAAAGGCCCAUCAACAAGAAGAGGAAAGGAAAAUAAUUGCAAAGAGAUUAACUUUAACAAUAAAUUUUUAGGACAAGAAAAAAUCUAAAUCUGACAAUAAUAUAAUCACUAUAUAUAUUCUACAAAUUGAUGAAACCAACAAUUUUCUUUAUUCCUCGACUUACCUCAUAUAAAAUAAAAAUUAGGCUAUUCAUUAUGAGAAUGGAAUAUACAAGUAUCAAGUUAUUUAAAAUGAAACUAAGUACUGGGACCUUUCGGUACCUUGACACUUCUCAAGCGUCUAUAUGAGUUUCUAUGUGCUGGUACCUUCGGGACCCUUGCUACCCUUGGUACCUUGUUUCUGAGAAUGGAAUACGCAAGUAUCAAGUUAUUUGAAAUGAAACUAAGUACUGGGACCUUUUCGGUACCUUGACAUUUCUCAAGAGUCUAUAUGAGUUUCUAUGUGCUGGUACCUUCGGGACCCUCGGUACCCUUGCUACUUUGUUUAUGAGAAUGGAAUACACAAGUAUCAAGUUAUUUAAAAUGAAACUAAGUACUGGGACCUUUCGGUACCUUGACACUUCUCAAGAGUCUAUAUGAGUUUCUAUGUGCUGGUACCUUUGGGACCCUCGGUACCCUUGGUACCUUGUUUCUGAGAAUGGAAUACACAAAUAUCAAGUUAUUUAAAAUGAAACUAAGUACUGGGACCUUUCGGUACCUUGACACUUCUCAAGAGUCUGUAUGAGUUUCUAUGUGCUGGUACCUUCGGGACCCUCGGUACCCUUGGUACCUUGUUUAUGAGAAUGGAAUACACAAGUAUCAAGUUGUUUAAAAUGGUACUAAGUAGUGCUUCUUAGGGUUGCUUAUUGUAGUUUCUAUGGUGUUUUUUUUUGGGUCAUAUAUGGUUCCUAUUUUCCUCUAUUGUUAUGUAAAUGAGAAUUUUUGAAUUUAGCCAAUCAUAGGUGAUGUUACUAAAACUUCUACAAGACCCAUUAUUAUGAGUAAUUUUGGAAUUUUUGACCAGUAGAGACCUUUAUGAGGGUGGUUACACUUCUGCUAUGUUUUCCUCCGUAUGAUGAGAAAAUUGAUCCUUUCCAGAUGAAUUUUAGAAAGGUGGUGUCUGCGUGCUCAGAGUAAUAAGUCUGUAGCAAAAAUAUGACAGACUCUUUCCUAGUUUUAAGCCAGUCAAUUACGUUGGAACACUUAACAUGGUCCCUAAGUUCGUGAACCUUUAUUGAUAUUAUAUUAAUAGCUGCCAUCACUCACUGGGGGAGGGGAGCACCAAAAUCAUCGGUUAUUAGGAAGAGGUAGGUUGCCGAGCUGGACAACCCUUUGACUUCUUCUUGGUAGAGGGCCUUCACAUGGCGGACCUAGAAGGACCUCUUAGAAGAAGCUGGGACGUAAGCAUCGCCAGGGGGAAUGGGAAAAGGGGGGAGAGUGCAAGAAAACUUAGGAGAAAAGUAAGUACCCGGUCGGAAUGACAAGGUAUCUUACCAGUUCUUAACAGGCUGUGCAUCUGGUUGCGUGGCGUCUUCCAAAGAUUUAUUGUUUCUGUAAAUUUGAACACUUUAGGUUCCCAGUUCAGUUUAUUCAUGUCUUCGGUACCAAAAUAGAGGCCAAGGAUUUUGAGGGAUUUCUUUUUCCAGUUAAAACAUAGAGGGGAAUCAAGGCGGUUUUUAAAGCUACCAAGCCAGAGGCCUUCACUUUUAUCUUUGUUUAUUUUAGCUCCAGAGGCUUUUUCGUAGUUCGCAAUGUGAUUUUCAAUUGCGAGUAAAGAUUGGUUACCUUGAAGAAGAAGGGUGGUAUCGUCUGCGUAUUGUAUAAUUUUAACUUUUAUCUUUGUUUGUUUUAGGCGGACACUGCAGACAUUGGCGGCAAACACCUCAGCAAUGAGAACAUAAAGAAGCGCAGAGAGGGGGCAACCUUGUCUGAUCCCUCUGCUAGGAGUGAAAGAGUCAGAAAUAAAAUCGUUACAUUUAACUUUGCUUUCAAUGUUAGUGUAUAGAAGUUUUACCAAGCUAAUAAAAACAGGACCGAAAUUGAAUUUUUCAAGUGUUUUAAGGAGAAAGUUUCAAUUUACACGAUCAAAGUCUUUCAUUUGAUCAAUAGAUAAUAGAGCGACCAGGAUAUUUUCAUCUUCAGAUAAUUGAAUAAUGUCUUGUAAAGCAUGGCAAUUGCCUAAAAUUGAGCGGUCGGGAACAGAGCAAGUUUUAUCUUCUGCUAUAAUGCUAGUUAGGACUUUUGAAAGGCGAUUUGCUAGAACUUUGGCAAUUAUUUUCUAAUCACAAUUUAAGAGGCUAAGGGGGCACCAGUUUUUAAUGUUUUCUCUUUCGCCUUUUUUAAAGAGGCAAGAAAUCAAUGCAAUACUUUGAGAGGGGGUAAGGGAUUUAUUAUCGAAGCAAGAGUUAAUUACGUUUAUGAAGUGUUUACCUAGAGAUUUCCAAAAUAAUUUCUAAAAUUCGCACGGUAGUCUGCCUAUUUCAGGAGAUUCACCAUUUACCAUAGUUUUUAAGGCAAAGUUCACUUCUUCAAGAGUAAGGGGGUUUUCACAAAUGUUUUUCUCAGUUUCUGAAAGACGUUUACUUGUAAUUUAUAAGAGAGUAUCCUGAAGAUUUGAGUCGACUGGCCCUUCUUUAUAGAGAGAAGCAUAAGAUUCUUUGACUAUAUAGACUAAUUUGGUCGGGUCAGAGAUGGAAUUAUCGUUUUUAUCUUUUAUUGAUUUCAUUGUACGGUCGCUUUGUCGUUUCUUUUCAAGGGAGCAGAAAUAUCUUGUAACUUUUUCACCUUGUUCGGACCAUUUAGCUUUUGACCUAAUUUUCACUCCCUCAGCUUUGGAGGCUUCCAGGGAUUUAACUUCGUUGCUUUUGUUUUUGUAAAGUUACAGGAAUCGGGGGUCCUCUGAACUCUCUGCCUUUCUUUUCACAUUUCUGAGUUGUUCGAGCAAUCUGAAUUAUUACGGAGAAAUUGUUUCUUUUGGUUUCUUGAAUAUAUUUUUGCAUUGUCAACAAAAGUGGUUUUGCUGUGUUCCCACCAUUCAAUUAACAAGGGGAAAGAAUCUUGUGAUUGUUCCUAGUCUGUGAUAAAUUUAUUAAUGGAGCUGAUGAAUUCUUGCUCUUUUAAAAUAGAAGUAUUUAAUUUCCAUAUACCUGGCCCGCGUUUAGCGGCUGAGAAAUUGAGGGUAAGAGAGAUCCUAUCAUGAUCAGAGUGGGGGAAAGGGUCGAUUCCUAGAAGUGUAACAUUUAUCAAUACGACUAAAGGAACCGCAAGAACUAGAGAAUGUAAAUUCCUUAGAGGAGGGGUUUUGAACACGACAGAUAUCCUCUAAGGCAUUGGAAGACAGAACUGCUUUUAGAUUAUUAGCAGUUUUUUCAAGAUAAGUUACAGGGCUAAAGCCGAGGGGUGUAUCACGAGUGGAAAUCUCGUACACCUUGCUUAGAAAUCGAAAAUCAAAUCCAGAAAUCUUUUCAAGAUUUCAAAAAUCCACCGAAUCCAUCUUAAAUCCAGCAAUCCCUGAAAUCCUGAUGAAAUUUUCAAAAUCCUUAUGAUUUUUACGAAAUCCAGAAAAAUCUUCCCGAUUUGCUCGAAAUCUCUUAAAUUUUUUCAAAAUUUUCGAAAUCUUCAGCCUCAUAUUGCGCCAUUUUUGGAUGGAAACGAGGCUUGUAAGAGCAGUUGCUAUGUAAAAUAAAACAAUGUGUUUUGUUCAUCAACGUUUUGAAAGCGUCGUUUCAACUGUUUCAAUGUGAUUUCAAUUAGCGUUGUUUCAGUGUGGUUUGAUAUAGAAAUGGAUAAUGACUUCUCGGGUAAGUUCAGUUUGACAAUUUUGUAACAAUGGUAGAUCUGUAAAUGUAAUCAAGGAUAGAGUUGCAAUAUGAAAGUACGAGCAAUACAUGUGGGCCUAAAUAUUAAAAGAAUGGGAGGGAUCUGACGUCAGGUCAUCUUCUUUCCAUCAACUAUAACUAUUUCUAGUACUGUCACUGAGUCUAAGAGCCUGCUUCUCAUGCUUUUCAUAGAUGAGGAGUCAAUCAACAGAGAGUGUCAAAAUCCCAAUUGUAUCAAGUUGCGAGAAGACCUUAAUGAGCUUAAGGUAUGAUUUAGCAACUAGCAUUCAAAUGCACAUGCACUUCAACAUUGCUCUGAAAAUAUUGUAGUCCUAUGCAGUUAUGCUUGUUUCUCAAAACUUGUUUGCUUAAUCCAUCAAAUUUUCUUCAAGGUGCGCUUCAAGGGACACCAAAAUGAAAUUUUAGAGGAACUCUGGAAUCUUAUCCCAGCAGCAGGAAAUUACAUCAAAAACAUAAUGAAGUAUAGUGGUUUUGAUACAAAAUCUGCCAUUGUGAAGCUAAAACAGACGCAAGAAUUAGAUGGCAUGUUUGAAUUUGCAAGAUCAAUGGUUGAUGUCAUUGAAGACAAAACUGCAAUGUUUGGUAUUUUCCAUAAAAAUCCAGAAAAAGUGAGGGUGCUGCCUGGCCUUAAUGUAAGUGCUUUUUCCACAGUGAAUUAUUGUGUCAUUGAAUCAUAUUUGCAUGCAACACAAUCUGUCAUGCACUUGAUAAGCUUUCCUUUAUUAUUUGUUAUAUAUAUUUUUUCUGCUUCAUUGCAACAGACAGCCCUGAAUAAAUUCCUUGAUGCUGUUGAGGAACAACUUUCUUCUUCUGUCAAUCCACACUAUCAAGUAAAGCUGGUUGCUUGCUUGCUUGCUUGCUUGCUUGAUUGCUUGCUUGCUUGCUUGCUUGCUUGCUUGCUUGAUUGCUUGCUUGCUUGCUUGCUUGCUUGCUUGCUUGCUUGCUUACUGGCUUGCUGGCUUGCUGGCUUGCUGGCUUGCUUGCUUGAUAAUGUUAAUAUGUUUUUUUUAUCUUCAGGACAAUCCAAAAAACUUGCUUCAGCCCGCUGGUCAAGCAGAAGCUACAGAAAUCAGCGGGCAUUAAAGGCUGCAGCUGCAGCUCCUGCACAGCGAAAGAUUACAGAGUACUUCCAUGAAAGAAUAGCGAAUAUAAUUAAUGAAAAUGAAAAGGUCAGAGAGGGUAUCAAUUUGUUAAGUGGGAAAGAUAAGUUCGCAGAUGUGAAAACAGUGUUAAAGAAGCUCUUCUAAAGCGCAGAGAAAAACGGCAUGCAUUUGCUAACUUCAUGUCCCCAAAAUUAUCGCCAUGAGGACACUGUCAAAAAAUUUGCGUCAUCAUUGUUUUGUUUGGUGGGAAAAGCUGUAUAUGAAAUGUUGCAAGCAAAUCUAGUUUGUGCUUUGCCUACUGUAUCGACAUUGCAUCGGAAGAUUACAAGCAAAUCGAAGAUAAAGGAAGGAGAAUUUCGUUUCAAUGAGCUUGCUGACCACCUAGAAAACUGGAAAGCACCAAAGGCAAUACAUAUCCAUUAAGACGACACCAGAAUACUGAACAAAGUAGAGUAUGAUCCUACAACUGAUCGAAGAGAUGGAAUUCCAUGUGGUGAAUUAAUUUAUUUUGCAUACAUUUGAUGAAUUGGAAACAACGUUCAAGUCGAGAAAGGUGGCUUCAUACGCUCAUUGUAUAGUUGUCCAACCUGUCAGUGCAGAUGCACCUUUAUUCGUACCGUGUCCUUCGUACUGAUUCAACAUACACUCAUGCUGAGAUUGAAAAACGGUGGCAGAUCAUUGAAGAUGGGCUCAAGAGAUGAAAAUGGUGCAGACGGUGCUGGACCAUUUUUAAAGGUCAUGGUUUCGAGAAGCAAGCUGUUUGGAGUCCAGGAAGGAUCAAAUGUCCCUUGUGAAUGGACUUUUUACUUGAUGCCGGCCUUAAGCACAAAAUGUCUCUAUGCACAGGACACAAUUCACCUUUUGGCAAAACUGAAAACAAGAUUGCUUUUGCCAUCUAACAUUCUGAGCAUUGGAGCUGAGGUUGCCUGCAGAGGUCAUCUUGUAGAGGUUCUAAAGCAGUUUCCAAAAGAAAGGCGCGGACUGACGCAAAAAUCGAUUGAUUGUAAAGACAAACAGAAUUACUUGAGCAUAGAGUUGCUGGUCAGUGAAUCCGUAGAGAAGUGUUUGAAGGAAUCUCGCUGUUCCCUGAGAACACAAGGAACAGUCGUUUACUUACAGCUGAUGCGUGACAUCAAGAAUUAGAUGUUCGACAAGUCAUUGAAACCGAUUAAAAGGCUCUAACUGGUGUGGAAAGCAAAUUUUUUCUUCGAAUAUGGAGAACAUGGCUUGCAGAGAAAUGUUUGCCAGAAGGUGAUCAUUUUAUUACCGGUUAUGCCUAUACAUGUAUUGAGCUAAAUGGGCAUAUGUUGUUGAACUUGAUCCACAAUGUUGCUAUUGGGCUGUUCCCCAAAGAAUCGUUGAGAGUUUGGAUGUCCGGGUCCCAGGCAUGUGAGCAGCUUUUUCGACUGUUGCGAUCGAUGACCCCAGUAUUCUCAACGAUUGUCAACUUCACGUUGAAAGGAAUACUGGAAAAAAUCCACAAAAUCCAGUACAUAAGAUCUAUUGAAAGCGAUGAUGAAAUUGUCUUCCCGCGUUUGAAACAAUGCCUGCUUCAAGCAAAAAGCGAAACUGAAGACACCACUGCUCCAGAUGUUGAAGAUAUAACACAGGAGAUUGUGAGUAGGGCUGUCCAAACCUUCGGAUAUUCCUAUUCGGUUAUUCGGCUUAAAAUUUAACGAAUAUUCGGUUAUUCGGCGAAUAUGGGUGUGGCAAAAUGGGUGUGGCAGGGUGGUGGUAAAAAACUGCAAUCUGAAAAUUUAUUGUAAUUUGUUGUGCUUAGCUGUGAAUAUAGCUAAUCAGUCAUUACUAUUCGAUAAGUUAGAACCAUUAAUUUUUUGUUUUCCUAUUGAUCUUUCCUGUGUUUUGUGCUGCAAAGCAAUU